GAUGAAGAACGCAGUGAAAUGCGAUAAGUAAUGUGAAUUGCAGAAUUCAGUGAAUCAUCGAGUCUUUGAACGCACAUUGCGCCCCCUGGUAUUCCGGGGGGCAUGCCUGUCCGAGCGUCAUUGCUGCCCUCAAGCACGGCUUGUGUGUUGGGCCCCCGUCCCCGGUUCUCCCCGGGGACGGGCCCGAAAGGCAGCGGCGGCACCGCGUCCGAUCCUCGAGCGUAUGGGGCUUUGUCACCCGCUCUGUAGGCCCGGCCGGCGCCAGCCGACACCCCAACUUUAUUUUCUAAGGUUGACCUCGGAUCAGGUAGGGAUACCCGCUGAACUUAAGCAUAUCAAUAAGCGGAGGA
This 350-nucleotide unclassified non-coding RNA is filed under the name soil metagenome. Its description in RNAcentral is "partial contains 5.8S ribosomal RNA, internal transcribed spacer 2, and large subunit ribosomal RNA". The stretch from base 1 to 120 matches the Rfam family "5.8S ribosomal RNA", at positions 35 to 154 of the family's 154-position model. The record is from RNAcentral.